This 341-nucleotide long non-coding RNA is filed under the name Brassica napus (rape). Its description in RNAcentral is "long non-coding RNA (BNAP_LNC010640)". The record is from RNAcentral. Lineage: Eukaryota; Viridiplantae; Streptophyta; Magnoliopsida; Brassicales; Brassicaceae.
UUAUCAUCAUCUCAAAAUGAAAAUAAACCCUCACAUCACUCACCCAAUGAACAACUCUCUUUUUCUUUUGACUCAACCACUAGGGAUUUUAACUAACUUUUUACAAGCUCUAACCCUUUUUCAUUCCCUUCCCCAUCUUCUCUUUGAUUCUUUUUCUUUUCUUUCUUUUUCUCUUUUUUUUUUAUUAGGGGAAGGUUCUUUGUUGCAUAAUCAAGAGCUUCAUAUUUUCUUUUUUUUUAUCCCUAGAGUUUUCUUUUCUAUUUAUACUCUUUUGCUCAUCUCUCUCAUCUUUCUCACUCCCCAAACCCAAGAUUUUGAAGUUUAGAACACACAAACCCCUC